GACGAACGCUGGCGGCGUGCUUAACACAUGCAAGUCGAACGGAAAGGCCCUGCUUUUGUGGGGUGCUCGAGUGGCGAACGGGUGAGUAACACGUGAGUAACCCGCUCUUUACUUUGGGAUAACGUCAGGAAACUGGGGCUAAUACCGGAUAGGAGCUCCUGCUGCAUGGUGGGGGUUGGAAAGCUUCGGCGGGUGGGGAUGGACUCGCGGCUUAUCAGCUUGUUGGUGGGGUAGUGGCUUACCAAGGCUAUGACGGGUAGCCGGCCUGAGAGGGUGACCGGCCACAUUGGGACUGAGAUACGGCCCAGACUCCUACGGGAGGCAGCAGUGGGGAAUAUUGCACAAUGGGCGGAAGCCUGAUGCAGCAACGCCGCGUGCGGGAUGACGGCCUUCGGGUUGUAAACCGCUUUCGCCUGUGACGAAGCGUGAGUGACGGUAAUGGGUAAAGAAGCACCGGCUAACUACGUG
This 468-nucleotide ribosomal RNA is filed under the name uncultured bacterium. RNAcentral describes it as "partial 16S ribosomal RNA". It matches the Rfam family "Bacterial small subunit ribosomal RNA", at positions 28 to 507 of the family's 1533-position model. The record is from RNAcentral.